AGUCACUGACAUUAGAUACCCGCGUAGUCCAGGGUGUAAACGCUGCAGACUUGGUGUUGGGAACCCUUCGGGGGUGCUCAGUGCCGGAGAGAAGUUGUUAAGUCUGCUACUUGGGAGUACGUCCGCAGGGAUGAAACUUAAAGGAAUUGGCGGGGGAGCACCGCAACGGGAGGAGCGUGCGGUUUAAUUGGAUUCAACGCCGAAAAACUCACCAGCAGCGACUGUUACAUGAAAGUCAGGUUGAUGACCUUACUAGAUUUUCAG
This 264-nucleotide ribosomal RNA is filed under the name uncultured archaeon. RNAcentral describes it as "partial 16S ribosomal RNA". It matches the Rfam family "Archaeal small subunit ribosomal RNA", at positions 716 to 982 of the family's 1478-position model. The record is from RNAcentral.